UACGUAGGGUGCGAGCGUUGUCCGGAAUUAUUGGGCGUAAAGAGCUUGUAGGCGGUUUGUCGCGUCUGCCGUGAAAAUCCGGGGCUCAACCCCGGACUUGCGGUGGGUACGGGCAGACUAGAGUGUGGUAGGGGAGACUGGAAUUCCUGGUGUAGCGGUGAAAUGCGCAGAUAUCAGGAGGAACACCGAUGGCGAAGGCAGGUCUCUGGGCCACUACUGACGCUGAGAAGCGAAAGCGUGGGGAGCGAUCCGG
This 253-nucleotide ribosomal RNA is filed under the name uncultured bacterium. Its description in RNAcentral is "partial 16S ribosomal RNA". It matches the Rfam family "Bacterial small subunit ribosomal RNA", at positions 524 to 776 of the family's 1533-position model. The record is from RNAcentral.